UCAAAAUAUCACGAGAAGGGUUUGCAUCCUCUCCAACCUGCCAACUCCGGCAAGGUGGAAAAAUGAUAUGGCGUUCAGCAAACAUAGGAGAAUAG
RNAcentral lists this non-coding RNA (95 nucleotides) under unclassified sequences. RNAcentral's name for it is "SAM-I-IV sequence". It matches the Rfam family "SAM-I/IV (S-adenosyl methionine) riboswitch aptamer". From Rfam's summary of the family: It is found upstream of a number of genes which code for proteins involved in methionine or cysteine biosynthesis. It has been found mostly in the order Actinomycetales. The record is from Rfam by way of RNAcentral.